Molecule: non-coding RNA, 96 nt
Organism: Acanthosepion pharaonis
Lineage: Eukaryota; Metazoa; Mollusca; Cephalopoda; Sepiida; Sepiidae
Source: the annotation of a GenBank genome assembly
ACAGCGAAACACCGGUUCCCGUAUGAUCACCGAAGUUAAGCAACAUCGAUUUUGGUCAAUAUCUAGUUGGGUGACCGCUUGGGAAUACCAGCUGCU